This is a long non-coding RNA of Panicum virgatum (switchgrass), 1463 nucleotides long. RefSeq lists it as uncharacterized. The transcript is spliced from 2 exons. The record is from RefSeq and is a predicted model, not a curated record. Lineage: Eukaryota; Viridiplantae; Streptophyta; Magnoliopsida; Poales; Poaceae.
GUCUUCCAAAGCCGCUGGCGUAGUCUGCCAGUGUCCCGGCGCCCCGCCAUGGGAGAACUGAGCGCAGGCGGCGAUGACGCCUCCAAGGCUCCAACCCCCCAGGUCCCGGCUGCUUGGGGAUGUGGGCGGCGCUUCGCCGCCCAGCGAUUGCUUCCACCGAGAUGAGGUCGGCGGCGAGCGCUUGCUUAUUUAUAGGGUAAUGUAGAAUAAGAUCAUCGUCCUCGUAGAAAGAAGAUCAGAAGGCCCUUGUUUAUCAUCAGGUGGACAAUAAGAUUUUCAGCGUCUCCUAGCAGCAGUUUCUCUCUGUGCAUUGAAGUAGACAGCAGCUACAGGGAGACCAAGGUCAUUUUCCUCAGCAAACUGCCGGGUGUUGAAAUGAUCCCUGAUGGAUGGCACAGUUACAGUUUGCCUGCGCUUCUGCUUGAAGAGGACAAAAAUGAACCUAUGGAUACCGAUGUUAGGUCUUGGGCUCUCGUAGCUUAUGACCUCUUGCCCUGAAAGACUCAUGGUUAUUAAUUCAAAGAACAACUGGAACAUGGAAUCAACUAAGCACGAGCCACGAGCCAGUUGAAUAACCUACCAAAGGAGGCAUCUGUCGUACCAGGUAUAUCAGUCACGAUCCUGCAAAUGUAAAGGAUGAAAUUUAGCCACUCCACUCUUUCUUUAAGUGCUUGGGGACCAUGUUAUUUUUUAUGUAUGCAAGAUGAGCUAUCUUGCAAUCCCUGAGGUAAAGAAAUGCUGAAUAUUACCAGUGAAGGUGCUCCCUUAGAUAUGGAUCACUUGGUCCUGGGACAUCUGGAUCUGUCAUCACCUGAAAUUCAAAGAACUUUGGCCAUUAAGGAAGGAAUGGUACAUAUAGAAUGGUUGGAUUCAGCUGUGAAGCAUUUGACUGCUAACCAAUGUAAAGAAAGACCGCAAAUCACCCCCUUGAACCUCCACUCUUGGUUUAGAUGCAACUGCUGAUGGGUAGAUCUCAUGGCCAUUGAAGACAAGCUUGUUUGAGUUGUAGGUCACUAUCAUCUUUAUACAUGGGUUAAAGGAGUCGAGAACUUCUCCAAUCACCCGACCGACUAUGAGAGGCUCCACAGACCUAGACAUGGUUUGAGGGUCAGGUAUUUGUAUUUUACACAACAAAUGAUCUGACUGAAUGCAGUGAGCUAUUGCACUCAAAGAUAUGCUGUGAACGGCUUAUUGCGCACUGGUAGAGUACAAGCCUCUAUUUAUAGUGGUUUGGUGCCUGCUGCCGACUGUAGGAUCAAAGAGGAUGUGAAGCAUGUGUGUUUCUUUAGUUGGGUAUGCUGUGGGUGCAGCUGAAAAGGCAACAGGAAGAUUGUACCGCUUUUUCCAAGAAAGCCAACAAAGAGUGUUAUAUCUUCUCUAUCAAUUAUAGACAGAAUCUAUGCAAGCAUUGCUUCGUGUAUCUUCAUUGAAGUUCUUGGAAUAAAGCAUUAUUUCCCUCAAAA